CCACUCUGCUUUCUGCCCUGAGAUGCUCCCCUAACUGUAUCCUAAGGGCUAGGGGAGGGAGGUGAUGGCAGGUUUUCACAUCUGUGCUCAGAUCCCCAGGGACCCACCAACACAGGGGACCCACAUUGCUCAGCAAGAAUAUUGAUGGGGACCCCAGGAUCCCCCAGUCACAUGCACUGCAGAAGAGGAGGCUGGCCCCUGAGAGGCCUGGGAGAGAGACAGUUGGAAUAGAAGGGAGGGGGCAGCUAGGAGGAGGCCCAGCUGUUAGGGUGACACCCUGAAUCUCAGAAGCGGUUGGCCAGUGUUUGAGCCCUGGUCUUGGCCCUGUAAGAUGAUCUGUAAAGCACUCGGCGGGCAUGGUGCCCAAGAGA
Molecule: long non-coding RNA, 371 nt
Filed under: Homo sapiens (human)
Lineage: Eukaryota; Metazoa; Chordata; Mammalia; Primates; Hominidae
Description: non-protein coding lnc-CCDC174-5:1
Source: RNAcentral